Molecule: long non-coding RNA, 1522 nt
Organism: Manis pentadactyla (Chinese pangolin)
Lineage: Eukaryota; Metazoa; Chordata; Mammalia; Pholidota; Manidae
Exons: 2
Source: RefSeq, a predicted model, not a curated record
GCAAGACAUACAAGAAAUGUAACUUGACUGAUUAUCAUCACAAAUCGGUCCAGAAAAAAUUCAAAACACAUGCAAAGGGUUCAUUUUCUCAAAGCUCUGACUUUUGCAUUCCAGGAGGAACGUGGAAUUUAAGUUAGAGGGCUCGAAGUGGAAGACUGAAGAGGCACAACCGUAUAAUUUGUGGGCGGAAGAGACAAGGAAAGUCUGAUGCUCUCCUUCCUCCCCCUACCCCAAUGUUCAGCAGUUGGAGUCGGACGGUCUGCUAAACUUGUCAUUUCACGUGGAGAAUCAAGUUGUUGAGACUGGCUUUUCUUCCAACCGGAUACCUAAUGGGUGGAGCAGGCGCCCCCUGUUCUGUCCCAGCAACCUACUAAGACUUCCGAACAGGAAGUUUUCCUACCGGGAGGAAUCCGGCCCCUUCCCUUUAACUCCCCGGUGGCGAAGUGGCCAGAGUUGCGUCACCAGAUUCUGCUUGUAAAUGCAACCUAGAGGGCGAUCGCGUUCUCCGGGAGAACCAGUCCGGAAUGCUUGAUUUCCCCCGACUUGCCUCCAGAGGAUUAAUCAGUUCCAGAUAAUUCCUCCACAGCACCUUGUGCAGCUAGAGAAAAUACACACCGCUUGAUAGGAGAUACGCGAAUAACCUUCUCAUUCUCCAAACCAUCAUCUCAUUCAUCCCUCAUCCUGGGAAAACUACAAUCAAAACUCACCAAUGGAAAUGAUUCAACAAGAUGUAAAGUUUGCACUGAAACAACAUUUUCCAGUGAAUGUGUAUUUUAAUACUUCAAAAAAUCGUUUUAGCUCAUCUACUUUAUUUUUCCUUAAUGAUGGCCUAUAAAUACUAAAACCUGAAAGGUUUACUAAGAUGUGACCUUUUCCUUUCAAAGGCUCGGAAAACAAAUUCCUAAUGUUUCUGCACACAUUAGAGGAAAUAUUUUGAAAAAUGGUUUUAUAAGGACCUCAGUAUAUUCCCUCUUGGACUACUUCUUAAUAAUGUCAACUGUGUUUAUCUUCAUUCCCUAGAUAGAGUGUCUUCCAUUGGUAACAGGGCAAUAUAAUUGCUUUCUAUUGAUGAAAGUGCCAUAAAUUCUGGAACAACCCUGUGUACGGUUUAGGCUCCCAUACUUACUGAUUCAUUGGUUGAUGCUGAUAGCAUCCAUUUCCUGCAGCAUCACUGAAGAAAGUAUAUAUAAAUGCCAGAAAACAUAAUUAUUACUCUAGAGAGUUUUUGUUGGAUUGGUUUUUGUUAGAAGUUGUUACCAAGUGCAUGUCUUUUUUACAGUAUUCGUCAAACAGAAAAUGAUGGCAGCAAGUGAGUUUAUUCAGGAUCACUAUUAUAGAUAAGUAACAGCUAAUGGUAGUUAAAUAAAUGUCUAUAGAACACACAUUCUGUAUUAUCACCUUCUGCAUUUGUACCCGUCAAAAGUGAUGUGCAUAAAGCACAGAAGAUUGUGAUACAGUGAACUAAGAGAACACAGAACCUAGAAUAAUAGUGUGAAGAGUUAUUAAAACCCAUAAAACUACA